This 460-nucleotide ribosomal RNA is filed under the name uncultured bacterium. RNAcentral describes it as "partial 16S ribosomal RNA". It matches the Rfam family "Bacterial small subunit ribosomal RNA", at positions 338 to 795 of the family's 1533-position model. The record is from RNAcentral.
CCUACGGGUGGCAGCAGUGAGGAAUAUUGGUCAAUGGGCGUAAGCCUGAACCAGCCAAGUCGCGUGAGGGAUGAAGGUUCUAUGGAUCGUAAACCUCUUUUAUAAGGGAAUAAAUGGCGGUACGUGUCCCAUUUUGUACGUAUCUUAUGAAUAAGGAUCGCCUAACUCCGUGCCAGCAGCCGCGGUAAUACGGAGGAUCCGAGCGUUAUCCGGAUUUAGUGGGUUUAAAGGGUGCGUAGGCGGCCGUUUAAGUCCGGGGUGAAAGGCUGUGGCUCAACCAUAGAAUUGCCGUUGAAACUGGGAGGCUUGAGUAUGUGUGAGGCAGGCGGAAUGCGUGGUGUAGCGGUGAAAUGCUUAGAUAUCACGCAGAACCCCGAUUGCGAAGGCAGCCUGCCAAGCCAUGACUGACGCUGAUGCACGAAAGCGUGGGGAUCAAACAGGAUUAGAUACCCCUGUAGUC